This is a non-coding RNA of Musa acuminata subsp. malaccensis (wild Malaysian banana), 699 nucleotides long. The record is from RefSeq and is a predicted model, not a curated record. NCBI's taxonomy places the organism in Eukaryota, Viridiplantae, Streptophyta, Magnoliopsida, Zingiberales, Musaceae.
UUUCGUCAGGGUAGAGUUGACUCUUUCUCAGGCUUUCGUAUCCUCUUGGCACUGUCACUGGGCUAUCCAUCAGUGAAGUGGUGUGGUAGAGGCAGAGUUGAUCAACAGUGGCCACAAAUUUCUACAAGUUGGCUCAGUCUUGGACACAUUCUGGAAACAAAGGACAAAAAGACUUUGAUUAAGGAAUAGGCAGCUUGUGAUCACCUUUCUUACUUGAUAAAUUUAAGCUUUCUUCUAUAUUGAAAGCCUCUGGAUACAAAUAUAAUCUAAUAUUCCUGGUGUUCUUGAAGUCUUUUGAGAACAGCAGGAACCCAGUGCUUAUCUAUAGGCUCUAUUGAUAUUACCAGCUGGAAUCACAUCUCACAUCUCUUCCAGGUUUUAUCUUACUGGUGGCAAUGGAAGCUUGGACCCAACAACAGGUCAUCGUUCUUCGAGUUCCAUGAAGGCAGCAAACACUUGAAGAGUACAGAUGUUUGACGAAGCACUUGCUUUAUUGCAUCUCGUGGAAUCAGCCAAAGAUAGAUAGAUGUAAGGGAGGCAGCAGAAGCUGGAGAAAGUAGCAAUGGCAGGUGGAUUAAUGCGUGUGCAUUUGGAUGGAGUAAAGAUGAGAACGUGUCGUGAAGCUCCAACAGCCAUGCACAAGUAUUCCAUAAGCAACACACAAAGCUCUCCUCCGCCGUCUAUCCUUCGACCGUGAAA